CCACGGAGGUGGCUGGGGUCAGCCCCACGGAGGUGGUUGG
Hippopotamus amphibius (hippopotamus) is the source of this 40-nucleotide non-coding RNA. The record is from Rfam. Lineage: Eukaryota; Metazoa; Chordata; Mammalia; Artiodactyla; Hippopotamidae.